This 429-nucleotide ribosomal RNA is filed under the name Pseudomonadota bacterium. RNAcentral's name for it is "Proteobacteria bacterium partial 16S ribosomal RNA". It matches the Rfam family "Bacterial small subunit ribosomal RNA", at positions 355 to 776 of the family's 1533-position model. The record is from RNAcentral. Lineage: Bacteria; Pseudomonadati; Pseudomonadota.
UGGGGAAUAUUGGACAAUGGGCGAAAGCCUGAUCCAGCCAUGCCGCGUGUGUGAAGAAGGUCUUCGGAUUGUAAAGCACUUUAAGUUGGGAGGAAGGGCAGUAAGCGAAUACCUUGCUGUUUUGACGUUACCGACAGAAUAAGCACCGGCUAACUCUGUGCCAGCAGCCGCGGUAAUACAGAGGGUGCAAGCGUUAAUCGGAUUUACUGGGCGUAAAGCGUGCGUAGGCGGCUAAUUGAGUCGGAUGUGAAAUCCCCGAGCUUAACUUGGGAAUUGCAUUCGAUUCUGGUUAGCUAGAGUGUGGGAGAGGAUGGUAGAAUUCCAGGUGUAGCGGUGAAAUGCGUAGAGAUCUGGAGGAAUACCGAUGGCGAAGGCAGCCAUCUGGCCUAACACUGACGCUGAGGUACGAAAGCAUGGGGAGCAAACAGG